GGGCUGGGGCUCAGGGGUAGAGCACUCGCCUGGCUUGCGUGAGGCACUGGGUUCGAUCCUCAUCACCACA
Molecule: transfer RNA, 70 nt
Filed under: Marmota monax (woodchuck)
Lineage: Eukaryota; Metazoa; Chordata; Mammalia; Rodentia; Sciuridae
Description: tRNA.Ala
Source: RNAcentral